Molecule: ribosomal RNA, 497 nt
Filed under: uncultured bacterium
Lineage: Bacteria
Description: partial 16S ribosomal RNA
Rfam family: Bacterial small subunit ribosomal RNA
Source: RNAcentral
GAUGAACGCUGGCGGCGUGCCUAAUACAUGCAAGUCGAGCGAACGGACGAGAAGCUUGCUUCUCUGAUGUUAGCGGCGGACGGGUGAGUAACACGUGGAUAACCUACCUAUAAGACUGGGAUAACUUCGGGAAACCGGAGCUAAUACCGCAUAAUAUUGUGAACCGCAUGGUUCAAAAGUGAAAGACGGUAUUGCUGUCACUUAUAGAUGGAUCCGCGCUGCAUUAGCUAUUUGGUAAGGUAACGCCUUACCAAGGCAACGUUGCAUACCCGCCCUGAGAGGGGGAUCGGCCACACUGGAACUGAGACACGGUCCAGACUCCUACGGGAGGCAGCAGUAGGGAAUCUUCCGAAAGGGGCGAAAGCCGGACGGGGCAACGCCGCGUGAGUGAUGAAGGUCUUCGGAUCGUAAAACUCUGUUAUUAGGGAAGAACAUAGGUGUAAGUAACUGUGCACAUCGUGACGGUACCUAAUCAGAAAGCCACGGCUAACUACGUG